CUGCUGCCUUCCGUAGGAGUCUGGUCCGUGUCUCAGUACCAGUGUGGGGGACCUUCCUCUCAGAACCCCUACGCAUCGUCGCCUCGGUGGGCCGUUACCCCGCCGACUAGCUAAUGCGCCGCAUGCCCAUCCCCCGCCGGAAUCGCUUCCUUUGGCCGCAGACCCAUGCAGGUCCGCGGCGUUACGCGGUAUUAGUCGGGAUUUCUCCCGGUUAUCCCCCUGCGGGGGCAGGUCGCAUACGUGUUACUCACCCGUGCGCCGGUCGCCGG
This 269-nucleotide ribosomal RNA is filed under the name uncultured bacterium. Its description in RNAcentral is "partial 16S ribosomal RNA". The record is from RNAcentral.